AAAUUGAAGAGUUUGAUCAUGGCUCAGAUUGAACGCUGGCGGCAGGCCUAACACAUGCAAGUCGAGCGGAAACGAGUUAUCUGAACCUUCGGGGAACGAUAACGGCGUCGAGCGGCGGACGGGUGAGUAAUGCCUAGGAAAUUGCCCUGAUGUGGGGGAUAACCAUUGGAAACGAUGGCUAAUACCGCAUAAUGCCUUCGGGCCAAAGAGGGGGACCUUCGGGCCUCUCGCGUCAGGAUAUGCCUAGGUGGGAUUAGCUAGUUGGUGAGGUAAGGGCUCACCAAGGCGACGAUCCCUAGCUGGUCUGAGAGGAUGAUCAGCCACACUGGAACUGAGACACGGUCCAGACUCCUACGGGAGGCAGCAGUGGGGAAUAUUGCACAAUGGGCGCAAGCCUGAUGCAGCCAUGCCGCGUGUGUGAAGAAGGCCUUCGGGUUGUAAAGCACUUUCAGUCGUGAGGAAGGC
This 465-nucleotide ribosomal RNA is filed under the name Vibrio parahaemolyticus. Its description in RNAcentral is "bacterial SSU rRNA". It matches the Rfam family "Bacterial small subunit ribosomal RNA", at positions 1 to 452 of the family's 1533-position model. Lineage: Bacteria; Pseudomonadati; Pseudomonadota; Gammaproteobacteria; Vibrionales; Vibrionaceae. The record is from RNAcentral.